GGUUAAGUUAAUAAGGGCGCACGGUGGAUGCCUUGGCACUAGAAGCCGAUGAAGGACGUGACAAACGACGAAAUGCUUUGGGGAGCUGUAAGUGAGCUUUGAUCCAGAGAUGUCCGAAUGGGGAAACCCGG
This 131-nucleotide ribosomal RNA is filed under the name uncultured bacterium. Its description in RNAcentral is "partial 23S ribosomal RNA". It matches the Rfam family "Bacterial large subunit ribosomal RNA", at positions 1 to 131 of the family's 2925-position model. The record is from RNAcentral.